ACAAGCCCCAAGUUUCAAUGUGUCAAUUGGGCAUGUUGCCUUUGUUGUUGGUGGACAAGGUUUUUUCCCUUUAGGUGAUGGUUUAAUUACUGGUGGAACUGUGACUGGUGGAAUUCCAAUAGGUGGCAAAUCAACUGGAGGUUUUACAAUUGGUGGAACUGUGACCGGUGGAAUCCCAACAGGUGGCAAAUCAACAGGUGGUUUUACGAUUGGUGGAAUUCCGACAGGUGGCAAUUUGACAGGUGGUUUUACGAUUGGUGGAAUUCCGACAGGUGGCAAUAUGACGGGCGGUUUUACGAUUGGUGGAAUUCCGAUAGGUGGCAAUUUGACUGGUGGUUUUACGAUCGGUGGAAUUCCGAUAGGGGGCAAAUUAACAGGUGGUUUCACGAUUGGUGGAAUUCCGAUAGGGGGCAAAUCGACAGGGGGUUUGACAAUGGGAGUGGGAACUUUGGGCUUUUUGGGCUUGUGAGAAGGUUUACCACAAUAGCCACAUCCAAGAAUGGGAGUGAAUGAAGAAAGGAAAAGCAUAGAAAUGAAAAGAAGUGAAG
Molecule: long non-coding RNA, 548 nt
Filed under: Solanum lycopersicum (tomato)
Lineage: Eukaryota; Viridiplantae; Streptophyta; Magnoliopsida; Solanales; Solanaceae
Description: long non-coding RNA (SLYC_LNC000993)
Source: RNAcentral